RNAcentral lists this ribosomal RNA (396 nucleotides) under uncultured bacterium. RNAcentral's name for it is "bacterial SSU rRNA". It matches the Rfam family "Bacterial small subunit ribosomal RNA", at positions 362 to 775 of the family's 1533-position model. The record is from RNAcentral.
UAUUUUACAAUGGGGGAAACCCUGAUGCAGCGACGCAGCGUGAGUGAAGAAGUAUUUCGGUAUGUAAAGCUCUAUCAGCAGGGAAGAAAAUGACGGUACCUGAUUAAGAAGCGCCGGCGAACUACGUGGCAGCAGCCGCGGUAAUACGUAGGGGGCAAGCGUUAUCCGGAUUUACUGGGUGUAAAGGGAGCGUAGACGGCAGCACAAGUCUGGAGUGAAAUGCCGGGGCUUAACCCCGGAACUGCUUUGGAAACUGUGCAGCUAGAGUGCAGGAGAGGUAAGUGGAAUUCCUAGUGUAGCGGUGAAAUGCGUAGAUAUUAGGAGGAACACCAGUGGCGAAGGCGGCUUACUGGGCUGUAACUGACGUUGAGGCUCGAAAGCGUGGGGAGCAAACAG